RNAcentral lists this long non-coding RNA (1065 nucleotides) under Stegodyphus dumicola. RNAcentral describes it as "uncharacterized LOC118200543, transcript variant X1". Lineage: Eukaryota; Metazoa; Arthropoda; Arachnida; Araneae; Eresidae. The record is from RNAcentral.
GUUACCAAGCCCUCUUGUCAUUCAGAAAACUUGUUUUGCAUUACUGGUAUUGAUGGUUUUAGUUUUAUACAUCGUACCUGAAAAAUGACUUCCUGUUUUCGGUUAUAGCUAAGUCACUGGCAUUUGUAAACAGACUUUCUCUCCGGAUUUUCGCUUAUUUCAGGAAAGAUCUGGGAAUGAAAUCAUCUUCUUCCAUGACUUGGAAUAUAGUUUGUUUCGUUUUGUUGAUUUUCUACCAAGCCAUACAAAUCGCACAGUCUUUUGGUUGCGCAACUUGUGCCUUUCCUGCUCUGAAUUUCUUUUGCUGUAUUUUGGUGGAGACGUGCUGUUGGAAAAAUAACGAGGAAGGAGAAUCUUAGAAAGAAUGCCGGACCCAAUGAGGAUGAUGAGAACGUAUAGAAGAAUAUACAACAUUUUCGUUUUAUUUAUACUUUUCGUAUCCUUAAUUUCCGGAGCCGAAAGUUUUGCUUGCGGAUCAUGCGGAAUCCCAAUUUUCUAUAACUUCUGUUGCACCCUUUUGCAGCGCUGCUGUGAUCAGGUUAACAAUGGUGGCUCUGCAGGUGGAUUCGGAUCUUCGGUGAUGUCUUCCAUGUAACAGAUAUUUUUGAUAACAGAUAUUUGCCUAAGUGGGGAACCAAAAAUGUGUAAAAUAAAAAUAUUUGAAGUCACGUAAUUCUGGAGUUCGGGAUUUAAUUACAAACUGAUUUCAUUUAUGAUGAAAAUGGAGUUCAAAUCAAAUAUUUUUAAAAUUUUGCUGAAAAUUCGAAUUUAUAAAACAAAAUCUUGAAAAGGUUUGAGGAGUAAUAAAACGAUUGUCGCGCCUCCUAUUUUACAAUUACCAUCGUAACACUGACUUAAUGAACGAAAACAAUAACAGACUCUCCGCUGCAAUACAAUAUAACAGACUCAAUAAAGUUUUCCGCAGACAUAAAAUAAAGCCUGUAGCGAAGCAUCUAGCUGUAACUCUUGUUUUGGAACCUUACUUAAAGUAAAUUUUAGUUUUAAAGAAGAAAAUUAUAAUAUAAGGGCCUUUUCAUGUGUAUAUCUGGAAAUAAAAUCUGGUUG